UUCCUCGUGGUCCAGUGGCUAAGACUCUGCACUUCCAAUGCAGGGGGUCCAGGUUCAAUCCCUCAUCAGGAAA
This 73-nucleotide transfer RNA is filed under the name Bos taurus (domestic cattle). It matches the Rfam family "tRNA". Rfam says of the family: Transfer RNA (tRNA) molecules are approximately 80 nucleotides in length. RNAcentral also lists the same sequence under 1 other name. The record is from Rfam by way of RNAcentral. Lineage: Eukaryota; Metazoa; Chordata; Mammalia; Artiodactyla; Bovidae.